This is a non-coding RNA of Hordeum vulgare subsp. vulgare (domesticated barley), 126 nucleotides long. Lineage: Eukaryota; Viridiplantae; Streptophyta; Magnoliopsida; Poales; Poaceae. The record is from Rfam.
AUUAUACUUCCUCCGUUCGGAAAUACUUGUCAUAGGGAUGGAUGUAUCUAGAUGUAUUUUAGUUCUAGGUACAUCCUUUUUUUAUCAAUUUGUGCGACAAAUAAUUCCAGACGGAGGGAGUACCAU